GAUGAACGCUGGCGGCGUGCCUAACACAUGCAAGUCGAACGAAGCACAUGAAUGAAUCCCUUCGGGGUGAAGUUUAUGUGACUGAGUGGCGGACGGGUGAGUAACGCGUGGGCAACCUGCCCUAUACCGGGGGACAACAGCUGGAAACGGCUGCUAAUACCGCAUAAGCGCACAGAGUCGCAUGGCUCAGUGUGAAAAACUCCGGUGGUAUAGGAUGGACCCGCGUCCGAUUAGCUAGUUGGUGGUGUAAUGGACUACCAAGGCGACGAUCGGUAGCCGGCCUGAGAGGGCGGACGGCCACAUUGGGACUGAGACACGGCCCAGACUCCUGCGGGAGGCAGCAGUGGGGGAUAUUGCACAAUGGGGGAAACCCUGAUGCAGCGACGCCGCGUGAGUGAAGAAGUAUUUCGGUAUGUAAAGCUCUAUCAGCAGGGAAGAAAAUGACGGUACCUGACUAAGAAGCCCCGGCUAACUACGUGCCAGCCGCCGCCGUAACAC
RNAcentral lists this ribosomal RNA (498 nucleotides) under uncultured bacterium. RNAcentral's name for it is "bacterial SSU rRNA". It matches the Rfam family "Bacterial small subunit ribosomal RNA", at positions 28 to 526 of the family's 1533-position model. The record is from RNAcentral.